UGGGCCGUAGCCAAGCGGUAAGGCAACGGGUUUUGGUCCCGUCAUGCGUAGGUUCGAAUCCUACCGGCCCAG
RNAcentral lists this transfer RNA (72 nucleotides) under Candidatus Moraniibacteriota bacterium. Its description in RNAcentral is "Candidatus Moranbacteria bacterium tRNA-Gln". It matches the Rfam family "tRNA". Rfam says of the family: Transfer RNA (tRNA) molecules are approximately 80 nucleotides in length. The record is from RNAcentral. Lineage: Bacteria; Candidatus Moraniibacteriota.